CCCGGCGGGACGGGACGGGGACCCCCCGCACCACCCGGCCCGCCCCGCCCCGGCUGAGGGCUAUGUGCGAGGUUUGUGCGAGACCUUCCCAAGGGUUCCCCCGCGGGCGGGUCCCCAGGCAGGGAAGGGGGUUCCCUGUGCUGGUCGCUGGCGUGACCUGAGGGGCACCGUCGGUAUAGGCGCAAGGCAGUGAACACCAGAGUGGAGCAAAAUCAGCAACAGGCCCUUGGCUUUUGCGUUUUUAUGCGAUGAGCAGGUAACUGUAGGUCUGCUGCAAUAACAGAGUGAUAAGAUGACACUUGAAUAGAUUCAUGAGACCCUUGGGAGUGUGACCUGUCAGACAACUCUGCCCAAGUCCAAGAUCACCUAUGUUUUUGUCAUUCUUUGACAGAAAACUGUUGAAACUCUUUCUGGAUAUUGCAUGAUGGCUACAGCCCAGUCCCUUUGUCCAGAGCUGUGGUGGUGCCACAUUGCACCAGUCACCACCGAAGGAUCCACUUCCCCAGGGAUGGAUCCUGGUCCCUGUGCCGUAUCAGCCAGCAGGUACGAUGCUGCUGUUUGCAGAGGAAGAACACCAGCUGCAGCAAGAGUAGUGUCUGUUCUAGAGUGAGGAACGAGCUCCACUGCAGAUGAGUUGGCUUCCCUGGCUGCAGUGCUCAGUAUUUCAUUUUAGCAAGUCUGAGAUUGGGCCGAGUCUUCGUCUCCUCCUGCGCUUUAUGCUGGUGCAAGUACCAGGUUGUAUGUUACUGAAGAGAGAGAAGGAGGAAAUGCAAUUCGGGGUUUUUAUUUUGUGCUCACAAAGUUCGCUCAGACAGACACACCCGGAGUGAAAGUGUGCUGCACUCACCUGGGAGAUCUUGUGUUGUGAAUUCUGGCUCUCCUGUGCUUUCCUGCUUUGCCCGUGCAGGUGGUAAGAGAGUUCAGAACAGGGGCACCCUGUUACCUCAGCUGCAAAAGGUUCUGAGAAUCAAAUGGCCAGGAGAGUGGAAUUUAAAUUUAUGUUGCUUUGUCUUGUGUUUCAGCGAGCAUUUGAAAGAUUCACCAGUUUAUCUUUGUCAGAGAUGGUUUUUCUUUGGGCUUAGCUUGGACACCAAUCUCCCUGUUGAGUUUACAUUUAAGGAGUAGGACCCAAGUUUUCCUCCAUGUGUUCAGUAUUAUGAUUUUGACUUUUCAAGUUUUGUUGCUUGGAAUAGGUGCAAUAGUCAUCUCUGCAUGUACAGCAACAACACAACUGGGGUUUGGAUGCUGCUACUUAGUCAAUUGAGAAGGAACAGAAGUAGUUUUGAAGGCUGCCUCUCCUGGCUGACAGGCUGAAGAGUUGGUAAAAGCUGCAAAGACAACUGAGCAUCUUAAUGAUGGUAUUUAUUAUGCAUUUUAUUUCGUAGGUGAAUUUUGAGGAAUAGUUUUUAAAGUGUAGUUAUUCUCUUCUCCUUUAGCAGACCAUCUGUGACCAUAGCUGCUUUUUUCCAAAAUGCCUGGUUUACUUGCUGUUGUUGCCACCAGUUCUCACUCCUCGUAGUAAUGUCCACAAGGUGGUGCCACAGCUAAGAAGUUUGCAACAAAUAAGCCAAAAGUAAUUUGAUAAUUCUGUCUGCUUUUUGUAACUGACUAAAACAGCUGCAUCAUGAAAGAGUUAAUAAUUAUUUCAUAAGCCAAAUAUCACAGGUUUGCGAGCUCUUUUUUAAAACCACUUGUGUGAGCAGAGGUGAGUCUGUCUGCUGAGUGAGGGCAACAUCCACAUGCCUGUGACUAUCCCAAAUCCUGCCCAAAAAGGACAAGGCAGCUCAGGGUUUAGCAGCCAGGCUGAUGAGGAGCUGUGUAUUUCCACUGGCAUGUGUCUUCGAUUUUUGUCUGGGUCACUUCAGCAGGGAUCAGCCUGAAAUCCUGACAAGCAGAAUAGUUCAUCCACAACUUCAGCCAAGACAGCUUCCACUUACCCUGGAGUGGCUAUGGCACAUCAAACCCUAAUUUCCUGAGUUUUUUUCUAGAGCCAGGGAUAGCCAGGCUCCCUGUCCUGUGCUAAUCUACAGUUCACUGUUAACUCCUAAGGGGUGUGAAGUGCUUACAGAGGGACCUGCCCAGAUGCUCAAGUUUACGAGCACCUUUCUAGAAAAGAUCAGACUAGAGAAAGGACAAGGCAGUAGCAGGGAUGUAAACUGUCAAGUGUACUGUCCAGUACAGAAAAGACAAGGAAACUUCCAGGAAAAAGUUGUUUGCAUGGAUCUGGAUGACUGCACUGACUUGUGUGUCCCAGAAGAGCUGAAGUGCAGCAGGAUUUGGCCAUUCCUCUCAGAAGGUGUGUGUGUGUUCCUCAGCUACCCUUGGCCACGUGGUGCUUCUUGCACCCCUGCCCUGCUCCCCUCUGUGACCUCUGCAAUCCAGGUAUGCAUGCUAGCACAAGAAAUACCUCCUGUCAGCUUCUGCAGUGGGCAAAUUAAGUUUGAAUCAUUUAUUCAUCACACACUUUUGUACCAAAAGCAGCAAAAAAAAGGGGAUGCUUUAAAAUACCAUUCUGACAAGCAGUGCAUUGACUUGCCUCGAGCUAGAAUCUCUCUUUGGUAGGCCUGCGUCAGAAAGAGAAAAAUAACAGGGUUUGCAUAAUAUGUUUCCUCUGAAUUGCUACAUUAUUAUUUUCAAACGUACUGAAAUUCUGGCUUGUAAGAGACAAGAUGGAAAUUAGGUAUACCCAGGAAAGAUGGUUUGUCCCCCAGUUAUAAAGCAGAAUGAGAGUUAGCAGCUUAUUGAGUCCAAUUCUAAAAGUUGUCAAAUAACUCAAUGGCCACCUAUUUCUUUUAAGGAUCAUAUCUAUAAAUUAUAUUUUAAAGUGGUUUGCAGUAUUUUGAAACUUUGUGUUGGUUUCAACACCUGUUUGGAAAAGUCAUUAUCUAAUCUGAGAACUAACUAAAAAUAUGAAGUCAUGAACAGGUCAUGUAGAUUUAAUUUCUGAGUCAGUCUGUUGAGUUAGCUUGAACCAACUGAAUCAUGACAAUGACAUUGUCAGAGUAUUCCUGAGUGAUUGUUCUGAGUGUAUGACUGCAGUAUGUCUUGGAAUUAAAUUGACACGUUUCUGGUUUAGUUUGGAUUUUGCUUUUUCUUUCACUUUGCAAAACUGCUUUCAAAAAUGUUUAUUUUUUCAGAUAUUUUGCACAUAGAAAAAACAAUGCUCUCUUCUAAAGGGAGGAAAUGAGUAUCUAAGAUCAUCCAUCUAAGUCUCCACAGUGUGAAAACCUCAGAUAUGCAUUAUUUUAGUGAUUUAGCAACCGAAUUGAAAUCCUGAACGCUCUCCCUUGCAAUAUUUGCAACAAUUUUGUGCUUUUAUUGGAAAUCCCUGUGGACUGUAAUCCAAGGUCAGGAAGGAGACAAUGCAUUGCCAUCUGAAACACAAGAAAGAUCAAAAUAAGUUUUCAGUGUGCCACCAAAACCACAGUGCUAGGUUUCUGUUAAGGAGAAUGAGUAAUACCAUUCUAGCUCUGAAGGUUGCUGUGAGUGGGUAAUAAUUCCAUCUAACCGAUAGGGCAGAUUAUGUAUUCUGCAAGAAACAAAAUAAUCCCAGGUAAAAUCUUGCCCUAUUUCUCAGCUCAAUAAGAAAGCCCACCCACCGUACCCACUUAGAAGUUGCUGUAUGCAUACUUGUCUAAGUUUAGGACUGAGGAGCAGGUCUGUUCUCCAUCCUACAUCCCCAAACCAGCCUUGCUCAGGCACACAUUGCCUCCAGCCUUGGUGUGGAAGGAGGAAUGUGUUCCUGCUGCUGCUCCCAGGAUGUGGGAUGUGGGUUGACCCUCAGCUCUGCAGCUGCAGACAGUUUGUGUCAAGUUCCCUCUCGGAGCCUCUCUCCCUGUGGAGGGUUCAGACCUUUCUGUGCACCCAGGGAAAUGACUGAUCAAGCCAGGGCUCACCCAAGUUCCCUCCUGGAGAGGGAUGCAAUAACCAUUUCAAAUUUUGUGUCCACAGACAACACAAAUUGACAGAACACAGGUAACAUAUUUUGCAUGUUGUACCUAUUUCUUACUUUGUCUUGCCAGGAAAAAUAGAUUAAAAUUGGUAUUAAGUUUCCUUCUUGUUCCUCCAAUAAUAGAAAAUUACCAGGGAAGAGAAAAUACAACAGAGAAUUUGUUGUCUAGAAAGUCCUUCCAGCUUUUUUUUUUUUUUUUUUUAAUAUUAUGAAACAUUCUUGCCUGCCUUAAUAGAUGAGAAAAGUAACAGUAGAACUGUGAAACAAAUUAAUACAUCAAAAAAUACCGAUCCCUGGACUAUAGCUAAAUCUAUAUUGGUAUUUGUAAUAGUGUUGCAGAUCAAUAAUACAAUGCUAUACUGAUGCUAUACUGCAUACAUUGAUUUGUUGAAAUGAUGGUUAUGGGUGAGGUUCUAAACAGACACUGCAACGUAUAAUAAAGGACUGACUUACUAACAGACUUAAUAAUAAAACAGAUCUAAUAAAAACAUCUAAUAAGAUGUGACAAGCACAUACAUAAAGUAACCCAAAGACUAAUGAUUUGUUUCACAGUUUUAUGAAAAACUUUUUAUUGUUUUCUGUGUAU
Hirundo rustica (Barn swallow) is the source of this 4538-nucleotide long non-coding RNA. RefSeq lists it as uncharacterized. The record is from RefSeq and is a predicted model, not a curated record. The transcript has 5 exons. NCBI's taxonomy places the organism in Eukaryota, Metazoa, Chordata, Aves, Passeriformes, Hirundinidae.